AGAGUUUGAUCCUGGCUCAGGACGAACGCUGGCGGUGUGCCUCACACAUGCAAGUCGAACGGGGUAGCAAUACCCAGUGGCGGACGGGUGAGUAACGCGUGGGAAUCUGCCUUUAGAUGGGGGAUAGCAAACCGAAAGGUUUAUUAAUACCGCAUAUGUAUGUAUCUCGACAGGGAUAUUUAUGAAAGGAGCAAUCCGUCUGAAGAUGAGCCCGCGUCCGAUUAGCUAGUUGGUAAGGUAAAGGCUUACCAAGGCGACGAUCGGUAGGUGGUCUGAGAGGAUGAUCACCCACAAUGGGACUGAGACACGGCCCAUACUCCUACGGGAGGCAGCAGUGGGGAAUUUUGUGCAAUGGGCGAAAGCCUGACACAGCGACACCGCGUGAACGAAGAAGCCCUUUGGGGUGUAAA
Molecule: ribosomal RNA, 410 nt
Filed under: uncultured bacterium
Lineage: Bacteria
Description: bacterial SSU rRNA
Rfam family: Bacterial small subunit ribosomal RNA
Source: RNAcentral